RNAcentral lists this ribosomal RNA (769 nucleotides) under Salmonella enterica. RNAcentral describes it as "partial 23S ribosomal RNA". It matches the Rfam family "Bacterial large subunit ribosomal RNA", at positions 711 to 1481 of the family's 2925-position model. Lineage: Bacteria; Pseudomonadati; Pseudomonadota; Gammaproteobacteria; Enterobacterales; Enterobacteriaceae. The record is from RNAcentral. RNAcentral also lists the same sequence under 1 other name.
AGACCCGAAACCCGGUGAUCUAGCCAUGGGCAGGUUGAAGGUUGGGUAACACUAACUGGAGGACCGAACCGACUAAUGUUGAAAAAUUAGCGGAUGACCUGUGGCUGGGGGUGAAAGGCCAAUCAAACCGGGAGAUAGCUGGUUCUCCCCGAAAGCUAUUUAGGUAGCGCCUCGUGAAUUCAUCUCCGGGGGUAGAGCACUGUUUCGGCUAGGGGGCCAUCCCGGCUUACCAACCCGAUGCAAACUGCGAAUACCGGAGAAUGUUAUCACGGGAGACACACGGCGGGUGCUAACGUCCGUCGUGAAGAGGGAAACAACCCAGACCGCCAGCUAAGGUCCCAAAGUCAUGGUUAAGUGGGAAACGAUGUGGGAAGGCCCAGACAGCCAGGAUGUUGGCUUAGAAGCAGCCAUCAUUUAAAGAAAGCGUAAUAGCUCACUGGUCGAGUCGGCCUGCGCGGAAGAUGUAACGGGGCUAAACCAUGCACCGAAGCUGCGGCAGCGACGCUUAUGCGUUGUUGGGUAGGGGAGCGUUCUGUAAGCCUGUGAAGGUGGCCUGUGAGGGUUGCUGGAGGUAUCAGAAGUGCGAAUGCUGACAUAAGUAACGAUAAAGCGGGUGAAAAGCCCGCUCGCCGGAAGACCAAGGGUUCCUGUCCAACGUUAAUCGGGGCAGGGUGAGUCGACCCCUAAGGCGAGGCCGAAAGGCGUAGUCGAUGGGAAACGGGUUAAUAUUCCCGUACUUGGUGUUACUGCGAAGGGGGGACGGAGAAGG